CAGAGUUGCAAAACUCCCAACCCUUGUGAACAUACCCGUUACAGUUGCUUCGGCGGGCAGCCCCAGGGCGGGGCUGCAGCCUCUUCUCACGAGGCGCCCGCCGGAGGUAUAUAACUCUUUGUAUUUGUUGGUCUCUCUGAGUAAAUUUAUAAUAAGUCA
RNAcentral lists this unclassified non-coding RNA (159 nucleotides) under uncultured Spadicoides. RNAcentral's name for it is "sequence contains ITS1". The record is from RNAcentral. Lineage: Eukaryota; Fungi; Ascomycota; Sordariomycetes; Sordariales; Helminthosphaeriaceae.